RNAcentral lists this ribosomal RNA (629 nucleotides) under uncultured Pseudomonadota bacterium. RNAcentral describes it as "bacterial SSU rRNA". It matches the Rfam family "Bacterial small subunit ribosomal RNA", at positions 47 to 665 of the family's 1533-position model. The record is from RNAcentral. Lineage: Bacteria; Pseudomonadati; Pseudomonadota.
CCUAACACAUGCAAGUCGAACGGUAACAGGAAACAGCUUGCUGUUUCGCUGACGAGUGGCGGACGGGUGAGUAAUGUCUGGGAAACUGCCUGAUGGAGGGGGAUAACUACUGGAAACGGUAGCUAAUACCGCAUAACGUCGCAAGACCAAAGAGGGGGACCCUCGGGCCUCUUGCCAUCGGAUGUGCCCAGAUGGGAUUAGCUUGUUGGUGGGGUAACGGCUCACCAAGGCGACGAUCCCUAGCUGGUCUGAGAGGAUGACCAGCCACACUGGAACUGAGACACGGUCCAGACUCCUACGGGAGGCAGCAGUGGGGAAUAUUGCACAAUGGGCGCAAGCCUGAUGCAGCCAUGCCGCGUGUAUGAAGAAGGCCUUCGGGUUGUAAAGUACUUUCAGCGGGGAGGAAGGGAGUAAAGUUAAUACCUUUGCUCAUUGACGUUACCCGCAGAAGAAGCACCGGCUAACUCCGUGCCAGCAGCCGCGGUAAUACGGAGGGUGCAAGCGUUAAUCGGAAUUACUGGGCGUAAAGCGCACGCAGGCGGUUUGUUAAGUCAGAUGUGAAAUCCCCGGGCUCAACCUGGGAACUGCAUCUGAUACUGGCAAGCUUGAGUCUCGUAGAGGGGGGUAGA